Molecule: long non-coding RNA, 266 nt
Organism: Saccostrea echinata
Lineage: Eukaryota; Metazoa; Mollusca; Bivalvia; Ostreida; Ostreidae
Exons: 3
Source: RefSeq, a predicted model, not a curated record
UACAAUGAAGCGCAUCUUCUUCGGGCUUCUGUGCGCUUAUGUUGUGUGUGCUUUGCCGCCAUUGACUCCAGAACAAGAGGAGCUGAUGAAACAGCAUGGAUUGAAAGUACUAUCCUUAUCAAGCAAUAACACAUCAUAUUAUCAUGGCAAACGCGUGGCGCUGAAGCACAAGUACGUGGGAGCUAAUGGGAACAUACAGAAUACGCGGUAUAGCGGGGACUGGUUAGCAGUGGAGGCCACCACAGCCGUCAGCGAGUGGGGACACU